GAGGACCAGGCAACGCCCAACAGGGAUGCUGCUCUGGGCCAAGGCCAGAACCCGCCCCUCCACCCUAUCGCCCCCCUCCCCUCGACCCCGCUCACCCUCAGCAUCGCUCACCCUUGCGCACCUUCCAGCCAAGGGGAGGAGGAGGAUGGAUGCGCGGGCAGGAGAGGGGAGGAGGGGGAGGAUGGGAGGGAGGGACAGGGGUGAGGCUGUGUGAGUUGCUGCAGGCAGGGGGGGUGAGUGUCAGACCACUGGGGAAGCACUUAGCCAUCUCUCUGCCCUCGCUUCCUCUGCGUCUCUGGGAUACACAAGUCACACACACCUCACACUCCGCACACCUUGAACCCACUCACACACAGCCUCCCCCACCUCCUCCCCCUCCGACCUCUAAUCCACCCCUGUCUUCCCCUCUGGAAGCCUCCGGGCAAAGGAAACCUCUCACGCCGCUCUGGCAACCACCGCGGCCCCAUUCCCCCGCGGGCGCUGCUCAGCAUUGGCCGAGGGAAGAAGCCGCCUCAGAGACACGUCAUUGGUCCUCCUGGAGUUUGGACCGCCCCGACGCAGUGGUGACGCCGUAUGAGACGCCUCCAGACCGCUGCAUUCCCAUCAGGCCGCAGGCAUCCAGUCAAAACUACAGCUACAGUUGCCAGUCCUCUCCAGGUCACUACAGCUCCCAGCAUGCCCCAGGGCGACACAGUAAUCCCUGCUGUGACCGAGAAGAGGCUGAGCUUUCUGAGCUUGAUUCCCUUUACCAGGCCAGUUUGCUGGCUGGAAAGACAGGCUGCAGCCCAUCGGAGAGGCUCAUAUCCAGGGUGGGAGGGCAGGCUCGCUCCAAGACCCCCAACGCAGACAUGGAGAGGAGUGUGUACGGGGCGGACUGCACCAGCACCCCCACCUACCUCAACAAGCCAAUGAUGUUGCGGGAUUUUGGGGUGGAGCCUGAUGAUGGGGAAAACCUGAGGAGAAUUGGACGCAGCCUGAGCGGCACAGUAGUGACCUCGCGCCGCAGCCGCCUGACUGCAACCCGCAGCUUUGUGAAGCAGGCUGAUGUCAGUGCCUCUCCUUGCUUACUUCCUCUCUUCUGA
Molecule: long non-coding RNA, 1082 nt
Filed under: Oreochromis niloticus (Nile tilapia)
Lineage: Eukaryota; Metazoa; Chordata; Actinopteri; Cichliformes; Cichlidae
Description: lncRNA (ENSONIG00000042398.1)
Source: RNAcentral